Molecule: ribosomal RNA, 253 nt
Filed under: uncultured bacterium
Lineage: Bacteria
Description: partial 16S ribosomal RNA
Rfam family: Bacterial small subunit ribosomal RNA
Source: RNAcentral
GACAGAGGUGCCGAGCGUUAGGCGGAAUCACUGGGCUUAAAGCGUGUGUAGGCGGGUCGUUAAGUGUCUUGUGAAAUCCCACCGCUCACCGGUGGAACGGCUGGGCAUACUGGCGACCUUGAGAGGCCUAGGGGCAGACGGAACAAGCGGUGGAGCGGUGAAAUGCGUAGAUAUCGCUUGGAACGCCGACGGCGAAAGCAGUCGGCUGGGGGCCUUCUGACGCUGAGACACGAAAGCCAGGGGAGCGAACGGG